GAAUUUUCUUGUAACUUGUAGGUCAGUAUUUCUAAUUAUAAUGAUCAGCUUAAGGUAUUCAUCUUUUCAUUCUUGAAUGAAUUGAUAACACAGCAACUGAGGUUGACCUAUUAACUAUUAAGCGUUCCUUUGCAGAUGGGAUUACUAUUACUACAUCCAGCUAUUUAGCAAUUGGGUACCAUGGUCAGACUUGUAACUCUAUUUACAUUCCAUUUUAGAAUUUAUAUAGUUGACAAACACGGCAUGGUCUGUAAGGUGGACGUGGAUCUGAUAGUAAUGGACGGUGUUAAAUAAGGAAGUUAAAGUUUUGUGUAUUACAUUUUCAGUUAUGAUCUAAUAUUAUAUUGCUACAAACAUGCCAUCAGGGCAAUGAAAAGAAGGCACUUGUUUCUGCAAUGUUAUUGAAGAAGAGAAGAUGAUGGAACUUAAGGUACUUUGUAACCGAUAAAAUCGACAUGAGUUUGAUAACUUUUCAGUUACUAUUUUCAUGUAUGGUUUUAUUACUUUUGUUGCAAUUAUUCUACACCAAUCAGUGUUCCAAAAGACUCCUAAACAUGGAUAUGUUCGUACUCGUCUUAAAAGUAAUGUUUGCUUGACCGGGGAAUUCUGAAUGCCUUUAUUCUACCAAUAAUUUCAAUGGUCUCUCGUACAGACAGGUCGUGUAUCAUAAGAGUUGAGACACGAGAAUCUGAAACGAAAUUGUAAAAAGAUGAUUAUUGCAUCUUCAGUAAUUCUUUGAUGUAAGAUAUUUAGUUAAUUGGACAGUUUCUCAUUUUCUUUCUCUUCUAACCAUUCCAUAGGUCUUUACAUGUUUUUUGCUUUCUCAUGAGGGUGCUGUUUGAGAAAAUUUCUCAAAAGAUAAUUCAACUACUUCAAAGAAAUUGAAAGAAGAAUAAAUGAUAAAUGGAGAAACCUUAACUCAUAGUUUAAUUCUUAGGGAUAAGGUGCAAAUUGACACAGAUUAAGUGAAAAUUAAUCUUAGUUAAAAUCUCAAGCAAGAGCUUCGAGCAUAUUUGGCUAAGCUUAGAAAGUUCACAACAAGAAAGUUUUAAAGUAAGCAUUUGUUUAUUGGUCAAAGUUUGAACAAACUUUAAGUAACUCUUUUACAUAAAAAAGGAAGGAAAAAGUAAGCUAUCAAAAUAUAUUUGGAAACAAAAACUUAAAGUAAGAACAAUUUAUCCCACGGCAUAAAUGAUCCUGAAUAUAUCCUUUAUUGAAGCUCAAAUUUACUGUCAACAAUAUUUGUUCAAGAGUAUCUUGCGGAUGCAGGAUGGUAACAAUUAUGAGAUAAGUAAUAUCUUAUUUUCCUUACAAGUUACAACUAUGGAAGUUUGUUGUAGCUUGUGCCUAACCUAAUAUUAGCUGUAAGGUUUUUUUAUGAAAUAAUUUUUAAUUUUUUACAUUGUGAAAGGAAAGCGUCUGCAAGAUCUAGCUAUCUGUAUGCAUUUACGAUGCUUUUGAGAUUGGUCUCUUUAUUUCAAAUUAGUUGUUCUCUAUUGCUUCAAGCAAAAUUCGCAGGAAGGCAUUUGAAUUUUAGUUGGAAUGAUUAUGAAUAUUAUUUUGUUUUGUUAACAGGUUAUAUGACCAUAUUUCAUUAUAUUGAACCCAUGAACCUCAGUUUUUAAAAUUUGUUAGAUCUGAAGAGGGAUGCUAUUGAAGGUUCCAACGACUAUUUUAGUCUACCAACUUUUACUAUUGUCAAUUUACUAUAAUUCCUUUAAUUCUGUUUUUAAUUCAUAAUUGUUUUUGUACUUAUCAAAUGUCUAUAUUAGCUCCUACAGCUUAUUAGUUCUUACGAGAUUUUAGAUUUCAUGUUCCUUACUCUUGUUUAAUGUUGUGUAGCUUCUGAAUCAGCUUUUGGUUCGUCUUAUGAUUACUCAGCUAACAUUGAAGUAAAAUAAAUAAAUAAAAUAAAAAAAUUAUAAUAAAUCCUUUUGAAUUGGCUUGUUAUUAAUUAUUCAUAAGGCAUUUUAUAUUUCCGUUUUCUAUUAUAUUAGUCUUAUAAUUUGUUGUGUUUUCAGUGCCUGGCUGAAUGCACCUCAGCAUAGAGGUGGGAUUGUGAAAAACCCUACAUUUGAUUCAUAUUUAAAUGAAAGGACUGCGUUUCCAAAGGGAAAAAUUGGAAUUGAGAAAUCUAAGGGGGAACAAAUUCAUAGUAGCAACUAGCAGAAGCUCACCAAAUAAUAGUUUCUCGCAAAACUUUCAUAUAAAAAAUGACCUUCGGCAUAUGUUUUCUGGUAAAUAUAUAAGAACUACAAGAUUUGCCAUUUGUAUUGUAAUAACUACUUGUAUUGUUCAUUCAAAAUUAUUAGAUAGCCUGGGUACAAAUCAG
RNAcentral lists this long non-coding RNA (2332 nucleotides) under Olea europaea subsp. europaea. Lineage: Eukaryota; Viridiplantae; Streptophyta; Magnoliopsida; Lamiales; Oleaceae. The record is from RNAcentral.